UAUCAUGGCUCAGAUUGAACGCUGGCGGCAGGCUUAACACAUGCAAGUCGAGCGGAGAGAGGUAGCUUGCUACUGAUCUUAGCGGCGGACGGGUGAGUAAUGCUUAGGAAUCUGCCUAUUAGUGGGGGACAACAUUUCGAAAGGAAUGCUAAUACCGCAUACGUCCUACGGGAGAAAGCAGGGGAUCUUCGGACCUUGCGCUAAUAGAUGAGCCUAAGUCGGAUUAGCUAGUUGGUGGGGUAAAGGCCUACCAAGGCGACGAUCUGUAGCGGGUCUGAGAGGAUGAUCCGCCACACUGGGACUGAGACACGGCCCAGACUCCUACGGGAGGCAGCAGUGGGGAAUAUUGGACAAUGGGCGCAAGCCUGAUCCAGCCAUGCCGCGUGUGUGAAGAAGGCCUUAUGGUUGUAAAGCACUUUAAGCGAGGAGGAGGCUACUUUAGUUAAUACCUAGAGAUAGUGGACGUUACUCGCAGAAUAAGCACCGGCUAACUCUGUGCCAGCAGCCGCGGUAAUACAGAGGGUGCAAGCGUUAAUCGGAUUUACUGGGCGUAAAGCGCGCGUAGGCGGCUAAUUAAGUCAAAUGUGAAAUCCCCGAGCUUAACUUGGGAAUUGCAUUCGAUACUGGUUAGCUAGAGUGUGGGAGAGGAUGGUAGAAUUCCAGGUGUAGCGGUGAAAUGCGUAGAGAUCUGGAGGAAUACCGAUG
RNAcentral lists this ribosomal RNA (705 nucleotides) under Acinetobacter sp. S275. Its description in RNAcentral is "bacterial SSU rRNA". It matches the Rfam family "Bacterial small subunit ribosomal RNA", at positions 15 to 714 of the family's 1533-position model. The record is from RNAcentral. Lineage: Bacteria; Pseudomonadati; Pseudomonadota; Gammaproteobacteria; Moraxellales; Moraxellaceae.